UCGAUUCGAGCGCCGCGAGAAAGCGUUGCCGCAGGCAACGACCCGAAGGGCGAAGCGCGCAGCGCUGAGUCAUCCUUCCCCCACCACCA
This 89-nucleotide small RNA is filed under the name Salmonella enterica subsp. enterica serovar Enteritidis. RNAcentral describes it as "partial RtT sRNA". It matches the Rfam family "RtT RNA", at positions 43 to 130 of the family's 130-position model. From Rfam's summary of the family: This family represents a bacterial cis-regulatory element known as RtT RNA. The exact function of RtT is unknown although it is thought that it may be involved in changing the cellular response in relation to amino acid starvation. Lineage: Bacteria; Pseudomonadati; Pseudomonadota; Gammaproteobacteria; Enterobacterales; Enterobacteriaceae. The record is from RNAcentral.